Molecule: ribosomal RNA, 467 nt
Filed under: uncultured bacterium
Lineage: Bacteria
Description: partial 16S ribosomal RNA
Rfam family: Bacterial small subunit ribosomal RNA
Source: RNAcentral
GACGAACGCUGGCGGCGUGCUUAACACAUGCAAGUCGAACGGAAAGGCCCUGCUUUUGUGGGGUGCUCGAGUGGCGAACGGGUGAGUAACACGUGAGUAACCUGCCCUUGACUUUGGGAUAACUUCAGGAAACUGGGGCUAAUACCGGAUAGGAGCUCCUGCUGCAUGGUGGGGGUUGGAAAGUUUCGGCGGUUGGGGAUGGACUCGCGGCUUAUCAGCUUGUUGGUGGGGUAGUGCUUACCAAGGCUUUGACGGGUAGCCGGCCUGAGAGGGUGACCGGCCACAUUGGGCCUGAGAUACGGCCCAGACUCCUACGGGAGGCAGCAGUGGGGAAUAUUGCACAAUGGGCGGAAGCCUGAUGCAGCAACGCCGCGUGCGGGAUGACGGCCUUCGGGUUGUAAACCGCUUUCGCCUGUGACGAAGCGUGAGUGACGGUAAUGGGUAAAGAAGCACCGGCUAACUACGUG